Molecule: long non-coding RNA, 3656 nt
Organism: Prionailurus viverrinus (fishing cat)
Lineage: Eukaryota; Metazoa; Chordata; Mammalia; Carnivora; Felidae
Exons: 4
Source: RefSeq, a predicted model, not a curated record
GAAGCUGAGGCGAGCUUCGGAGUCCCGGGGCCCUUUAUAGCCGGAGAGAACGGCCGCCUGCCUCCCCUCCCUCCCCCCCCCCCCCCCCCGCCCGGCGGGGCGGAGCGGGACCCGUGGUGAUUCCCGGACUCUCGUCCGGAGCCGGGGGCGGGGGGGGCGGCGGCGAGGUGCUGAGGGACCUCCGCCCGCUCCCGCGGCUAGCACCUGAAGGUCGCAGAGACCUGCCCUUUCCUCCCCAGCCUUUUUUCCCCCCCGCGGGACUGAGGCCAUCCUGGCAGGCGGGUCCCGAGCCGAGGUAGCUCUGCCUUGCCCUCCCUAACCUCACCCGUAUUUGGCUCCAGAGUUAGCCCUCAGCUUUUCUUCCUUUAAGCAACUCCCACUGGCGGCAUCCUUUUCAAAUAUGAUGCGUGCUUUUCUUGAAGGCGACCUUCUCAAAGUUCUGAGAAUUUCUUGUUAGGGCGGUAUUGCAGACAGAUUAAAAAAAAAAAAAAAAAUCACAGUAAGGAAAGGGAACAGUCAGUAUGGACAUAGUAAUACCUGGGAGGAUGUUCACACCACUGCCUAACCAGAACGCCUGUAGAUUUUUCCAGUCUCAUGAAUUAACCAAAAAAGUCCCGAUCCUGGAAUCAUCCCACGAAUACUGUGAUGUGCUGGGACUAUUCUCUGGGUUGCCAAUGGCUGAGAAUUGAAACCAUGUCAAGAACUUUGCCCAUUUCCCAUACCUCAAAAACAAACAGAAAAGAAAGGAGAAAGAAAGAAAAAAAAAAAAAAAGACCUUUUUGUCUGUGUUCAUAAUUGCAACAAACAUUUCUCAACGAUUGAACUAUCCUUGAUGAGACAAAUAGUAUUAUAGAGAAAAACGUUAAAUUGGACUUCAGCUGUACCCCUUAUUGGUGAAGUGCUUGUGCAAGAAAUCUCUUUUCCUCUUGGCUUAAGAAUGGGGGACCCUACGUAAACUUCCCCAGUGGGAACUUCUGUUUCUCCAUACCCGUUAACUGGCUUGUCAACAAUUCUGUUUUGAGAACACAAUUUUAUGUACAUCCAGAGAAUUGGACCCACCAACCCAGGAGUUUUCAAACUGCUUUGAACCUAGGAACUGAAGAGACUGGAGGAUCUCUUUCCCAGUUAAGAUUUGGGUGUGGAGAAUCCUAGGGACUAUGGAGAAGGAAGAGUGUGGAUCAUCACUGGCCUUGAAUUUUAAAACAUUCAAAACAUUUUUUGUGCAGGCAUUAAUAACAGACUUGAUGAGAGAUAUCUAGCAACCGAGGACCUCAGAGUGAAAGAGUGAGGAAUCUGACAACCUUCAGAAAGGCGUGUCUUAAUUUUCCAUGAAGAUGGCAACAUGCAAAUAGGCAGUAGCCAACUAAACUGCCCCUCUCCCACCUUGUGAAGCCUUUCAGAGGACCCUGGAGGAACAGAUUGUCAUUUUGUCUUCAGCCUCGUUCACCAUCUAACCUCUCUAUUUAGACUGCCAAAUGAUGUCAAAGACAUCCUGUCAAAAGCCAAGAACUAUGAACACACAUUAAAUCUGAUGAAGUGAGAAGACUCCCAUUUUGAUAAUCCUUUUAUCUUCACUCUCCAACUAAAGUUAAGGAAGAAAGAACUAUUGGCAUUCAAUAAAGAAUGAUGGGAACCCCCGCUUUCACUUGCUCUGACCCCGCAUAGGAAGAGAAGUAAGUCAAAGAAAGUCAUAAUGACACAUAGUUUUCAUUACUAUGUGAUAUUUCAAAGUUAAAGGAGAGAGGUAAUACAGAGGGUAUACUCUCUCUUAGACUCAUAUCUUUUCACAAGGUUCCCAACCAGGAUAUGGUUAUAGAAGGACUAUCCUCUCUUCUAGGGACCACAUUGUAUUCGUAGGAAAAUUCUAGUAGACGUUGACAUUGUGAUUCUGUGUAUUUAAGUGUUGUAGCUUUGUUUUAGGCGUAAGUAAUUGAAUCUGGCUGUAACCCAGCCUGUAUCAGAUUACUUCACUGGAGUUGAGUGGGUUUAGAACUCACCUCUCCUCUCUUUGGGUCCUAUGGUGGGAGCUGCACACUCUUGUUGAGACAAAGAAGAUGACCUAAGAUAUGUUUCUAAGUUGUGAGUUAUUUUUACACAACCUUGUGAUAAGGAGUAUGAUCUUUACAAAGGAGCAAUGGUCUUUAUUAAAUAGGUUGUCUAAGAGUAUUACUGGAGAAGGGUGUCUUUGGUGACUGUAUUGUUGGUUAUAUCUGACUCUAAUUCACGGGAUAUUGCUUUGAGAAAACUAUUGCUAAUAGUCCCUAGACUAUCAGUGACAUUUCCUGUGUUAUUAAUCAUAGAAAAGCUGCCAUAAUUUCAAUGUACACAUCUUCCUUGACUUAUGAUAGGGUUAUGUCCUGAUAAAACCCUGAUAAAUGUUGUAAGUUGAAAAUAUCAUUAGUUGAAAAUGCAUUUAAUAUACCUAACCUACUGAACAGCAUAGCUUAGCCUAGACUUUUGAAUGUGCUCAGAACACUUACAUUAGCCUGCAGUUGGGCAAAAUCAUCUAAUGCAACGCCUAUUUUAUAAUUAAAUGUUGAGUAUUUCAUGUAAUUUAUUGGAUGUUGUGUUGUAAGUGAAAAACAGAAUAGUUGUGUGGGUGCAGCAUGGUUGUAAAUGUAUCAGUUGUUUACCGUCAUGAUCCCAUGGCUGACAGAGCUCCGACUCACUGCCAUUGCCGAGCAUCACUACAAAGGAUUGGACUGCAUGUUACUAGCCUGGGAAAAGAUCAAAAUUCAAAAUUCAAAAUAAAGUUUCUACUAAAUGUUUAUCACUUUCACACUAUCAUAAAGCUGAAAAAUCAUAAGUCAAACCAUUGUAAGUUGGGGACCAUCUGUACAGUAAGUGGCAUAUAACUAACAUUCUUGUUUAUAUGUGAAUUUCACAUGUUUUAUCUUUUGGCUUAUUGGACAUAGGUCAGUGAAAAGUAAGCAUUGUUAGCACUAGGGAGUUUUCCACAUGUUAUGUCUUUAAACUCAAUGAAUCACUGUAACAUCCAAACUGGCAUUGCACUAUUUAUACUGUCUAAUCAGGAAUAUAAUUUCACAACAUUGAAUUUGCAGCACAACCAUAGCAUUGCAAUUUAGCACACAUUUUGUUAAUGUGCUUUGUAUCCCAUUAAAGUCUCAUCUUCACAGCCCAGUGCCAUAUGUUACCGGGUCUAGAGUAAACCUCUUAAGUAAGAGGAAAUAAAUGGGAGUAAAAUUACAAUGUGACAUAUGCUACUGGUUACCUACCAACAACCAGUCCUCUCUUCUUCCCUGAUCAAACCCCAAUUUUGUUCAAGUUUGGGAAAAAUGUGCUCAGGAAAGACGAGUUCACUUCUAGCUCAGGUAUGAAAUAUGAAGGAUAUCGCCAUAGUAUCAUUCCCCUUUCAACCAGAGAUUCAUUUGGAAUUUGUAUGUAACUGAGUUUUGGCCAAGAGGACAUGAAAAAAAGUCUGUUGCAAGGCUUCUGGAAAAAGUAUUUUUCCUGAUAAAAGAAAUAUGCGUUAAGGAGAAAACUCCUCAGUUCCCUUUCCUUUCCAGCCUUUGGAUGUUGUUAUGAGGAUUUAAUGCAUAGAGUUACUGCUGCCUAAGGGGUUGGGGAUGAGGAAGUUUGUGACAGGCAGAGCAAGGCAAGGUUUCUUGCCAGAGGUUAGAACGAGCUUAGGUACU